GAAAGAGAUCUGCUGCUUUUACUAUCUGGCAGUUGGUAGGUUCUUAUCACUUUUAGUUUUUAAUUGAUGAUGUCUUGCUUUAUACUUGACAGAGACCAAGGAAGAAGAAAGGUUGUUUCUGGCAGAGAACAGCGAAUGGCAAGAAAGAGCAUGAGACUGGCACUGCAGAGCAGCACAGAAAGGUAUCCAGUCAACUCCGGGAGGGCAGGAAUGACAUCUUAUUUGACCCUAUCAAAAGGCACAAUGCUUGGGUACAGGCGGAGAGAUACCUCAAGAUAGGGGGCAUCACAUAAUUUGCUGUAUAAGUGGAUUACUUCUGAAAGUGAUUUAUGCUGAAAAAGCAGGUGUAAACUGUCCCAAUGAAACCAGGAUGCAUGUUUACUCUUCUUCAAGGCAGCCAGGGGGGAAACAAAGUUAGAAUGCUACUGGAGUCAAAUUUUAAAAAGGGAAAUGAGUAGUCCUGAAUUUUGGCAGACCAAGACUGAACCAGUAAAAUAUCUUUUAAAUUAUUUCAUUAUUAUGUAUAUAUAUUACCUUAUUAUAACCCAAAGUUAAACAUUAAAUAAUGACAUUUUGUCUCCUCAAAGUGACUCAACCUUCAAAAAGAAUGAAGCUUGCAUAUAUUUAUAUCUAUAUACUACAUAUACACAAUGAAUAUAUAUAAUAUGUAUAUAUUAUCUGCUUGUAUUUUUUCCUUAAGUCUACUGGUUUUAAACAAUGUAGGAACAUAAUUUUGAAAGAGAUUGAUUUCCUAAAAAGGACCAAUCACUGAAGGAGGGGUCAGAUUUCCAGACUAAAAUUAACCAAUAUUCAGCUUGUAACUGGCACAUAGUAGGUAUUCAAUAAAUAUUUGAUGAAUGCAUAAAUGAAUGAUGAA
This 877-nucleotide long non-coding RNA is filed under the name Sus scrofa (pig). Its description in RNAcentral is "lncRNA (ENSSSCG00070007758.1)". Lineage: Eukaryota; Metazoa; Chordata; Mammalia; Artiodactyla; Suidae. The record is from RNAcentral.